This is a non-coding RNA of Macaca mulatta (Rhesus monkey), 1349 nucleotides long. NCBI's taxonomy places the organism in Eukaryota, Metazoa, Chordata, Mammalia, Primates, Cercopithecidae. The record is from RefSeq and is a predicted model, not a curated record.
UCGGGGCCGCCCAGCGGUGUGGGCGGCCGGCGGGAACCUCGGGUGAGCGGUGGGCGGGUCUCAGGACUCGCUCCGGAAGUGCGGUCCCGGGCGGCGCCGAGUGCUGGGCGCGCUGCACAGCAAAGGCAAACAAAAACUGGACUUACCCACUGAGUGCAAAACACACAACAAAGACUGAAGGCACUUCAAACACUGGUGACCCAAGGAUCAGGCAUAAAAAUUCAGAUGCAUCCUCAUGAAAAUUAUGGCAACAGCAAGUAAGAAGAUAAUGAUCCUGAGAAUCAACAUCCAAGACCAGUGGUCAGUCCAGCAGGAAAGAGAUAAAGGUGGCAUGGGACAAGUGCCACCCUCGCCUCUGGGGACCAUCACCCAGACACCAAGCAGAGGCCUCCUGUGAGUGCAGGGUCACGGCCCCUUCCCUUCAUCUUCAGAGACAGCGUUGCGGCGUCUUCAGAUCUCUCCUCUGAACUCUGCUCUCUUCUCUUCGUGGCUGAGCCUCUGCCUCCGGCUGAUGUUGCCUUGUCUCUAUCACAUCACAGCCUUCUCCACACGAUUCCUGCUCCUUCCUCAUAUAAGGACUCUUGUGAAUACUGGGGGCCUCCCCAGAUCAUCCAGGAAAAUCCCUUUGUCUCAAAAUUAUUAAUUUAAUCAUAUUUGCAAAGUUCCUUUUACCACAUAAAGUGUUAACGUCACAGGUUUUGGAGACUAAGAUGUGGACACAUUUGGGGGCCGUUAUCAGGCUUACCACACCCUUCAACCUAAUUAAGGGUAAAAUCUGCAGGGAAAUUGCACUGUGGCUCUUCCAUGUCAUCACUGCUCCCUCUGUACUGGAGACUUUUUGUGACAUCCAGUGUCUUCUAAAGGCGUGAACAGGAAACCCCAGUGCAGACUCAUGAAGCUUUGAUGGACUCAGGGUAGUGACCGGACAACACUUUCAGGCAGUGGUGCAGAGGAGAACAGUAGAAACCUUGGAGGAGAGGAGGAUGGGAAAAGGAGGAGGGCACCUGACUUUGUUUUUUUGUUUGUUUGUUUGUUUGUUUUUUGGUCCAGAUGUCCACAGAGUGAACUUAACAUUUUAUUACAACUUUGGUGGAAGAGCAGGAGAUCAUCUAUUUCAAAUUUCUGUUUGAGCACUAACUGUGUAAUUUUUUCAAGGUUCUUUUGACGGCCAACUGUCUACACAAUAACCAUGUUCUACUUCUUUAAUAACACCUGAUUUCCUGUGGGGCAGUUAUGUUCUCAAAGUUCCUAGCAUCUCCUGUAUGGCCUUGUAACUUAAUAUUGGUGGUUGUGUAUGGGUUGCUUUCAGAGUGGCUAAAUAAAAGGAGUUGAUUCAGUUUGAAAAUUAA